AAAAACAUGUCUUUUAGAGAGAGAAUUUAAAGUCGGGCCUGCCCACUGAAUGUUAUUGAAGGGCCGCGGUAUUUUGACCGUGCAAAGGUAGCAUAAUCAUUAGUCUUUUAAUUGAAGGCUGGAAUGAAUGGUUUGACGAAGUAUCGACUGUCUCAGUGUAAGAUGUAGAAUUUAACUUUUGAGUCAAAAGGCUUAAAUGUUGGUAAAGGACGAGAAGACCCUAUAGAGUUUUAUAUGUGUAGUGGACAAUUUUAUUUGGUGGUUGGGAUUUAUGUUUAUAACACAUAUUAUGUUGGGGUGACAUAAAGAUAAAAGAAACUCUUUAUAAAUUGGUACAUAGAUUUAUGAGUAAAUGAUCCAUUAUUAGUGAUUAUAAGAUAAAAUUACCUUAGGGAUAACAGCGUAAUUUCCCUUGAGAGUUCGUAUUGAAGGGGAAGUUUGCGACCUCGAUGUUGGAUUAAGAAAAUGGUUGGGUGUAGCAGCUAAACUAAUAAGUCUGUUCGACUUUUAAAAUCUUACGU
Molecule: ribosomal RNA, 521 nt
Filed under: Phlesirtes sp. SK-2016e
Lineage: Eukaryota; Metazoa; Arthropoda; Insecta; Orthoptera; Tettigoniidae
Description: partial 16S ribosomal RNA
Rfam family: Bacterial large subunit ribosomal RNA
Source: RNAcentral